This 228-nucleotide long non-coding RNA is filed under the name Lathyrus oleraceus (garden pea). RNAcentral describes it as "Pisum sativum (pea) long non-coding RNA (PSAT_LNC029450)". Lineage: Eukaryota; Viridiplantae; Streptophyta; Magnoliopsida; Fabales; Fabaceae. The record is from RNAcentral.
UCGUCACUUGAAGUGACGGGGAGAUAAAGCAUUUGUUUUUAUUUUUUAUUUUUUAAUAUUUUAAAUAAUUUAUUAAAUACUAAUAAUAAUUAAUAUAAUUGAUUUUUAAUUAUUAAUUUUAUAUUUAAUUAAUAUAAUUGAUUUAAUUAAAAAUAAUAAUAAUUUUUUUAUAAAAAAAUAUUUAAAAUAAAUAGUAAAUAAUUAUAGUUUUUCAUGAUAAUAAAAAAA